CGUCACCGAUGCCUCAAAGUCACACACGCGGUUCAACAAACAAAAUAUCGCCUCAUUGCAGCACACAGAUUUGCGACACAUAGGACUCUUUCUGUGGGGACCAUCUUACUAGAUUUCCGUGUACAAUUAAUUUAUUAUUACUUAUCAAUUUAAAAUAUAUUAAAAUUUAAAUGACCUAAACAACUUAACUCUUAAGAAAAUGGGAGUGAGCGAAGAAACCAUCUUACGCGUUGGUAAAUUUGACAAAAAUACACGGGCCCGGGCCGACCCAUAUUGAAUAAGGUUGUAGCACUUGAUAAUAGACAAUUAGCAGAAUCUUCCGGGUGCAUGUAAAGUAUAAGUGGGAGCAGUGUGCAUGAUACGUGUCCCACAACCAUGAGAACACCUGAUUCAUUUCAGUUACCCCAAUCUCAUUGGUAUCAACACCUCGCCACUGUGGAGUUUACUUUCAAGAUGGUUGAUGUUAACAACAAAUUACAUUUAUCAAUAUAAUGCUUACCCAAGAUUUGACCCUUGAAACCGAAAGCACCGAUUAGUCUUACUGGAGCAAAUUGGUGCGAAGUUGUCACUAUCAGCAUCUCCUCAACUUCUAAGAGGUGAUUUGUCAAACAGAGGAAGGGCACACCACCAAAUAAAAUUCGUAUGUGAUAAAUCGGUAGGAUCAAAAAGAGUUGACAAACAAGUUCACAAAAACUACAAUGCCAAGAGGAAAACCCAAACAUGUGUCUAGAUUUUGCAGUGGUUGGCGUGUCAAAUUCUUGCAACCCUUG
This is a long non-coding RNA of Vigna unguiculata (cowpea), 770 nucleotides long. RefSeq lists it as uncharacterized. The record is from RefSeq and is a predicted model, not a curated record. NCBI's taxonomy places the organism in Eukaryota, Viridiplantae, Streptophyta, Magnoliopsida, Fabales, Fabaceae.